RNAcentral lists this long non-coding RNA (640 nucleotides) under Elaeis guineensis (African oil palm). RNAcentral describes it as "long non-coding RNA (EGUI_LNC022551)". Lineage: Eukaryota; Viridiplantae; Streptophyta; Magnoliopsida; Arecales; Arecaceae. The record is from RNAcentral.
UUUUUUUAGAAAAAUGAAUGUUCAAUCAAAUAUAAAUUAUUUUUUCAGGUCAAUUAAAUAUGUCAAAAUUAUAUUUUCAGAUAUCAUACUCUUAUAUAGUAAUUUCUCAAGAAUAUUUUUGGAAAGAAAAAUUUUUCAUGCAAACUAAAUGAGUUCUGUAUGCUUAGUGAUUCAAGCUUCAUUGAGUCUGAUCCAUGUUGACUCUUAUUUUUUAUUUAAUCUAUUUGGAUCAAAUCUAACUCUUAUAUAAGUCUAUUUGGAAUCGCUUGGUACUCUUUAAACAAGAGUCCAUGGCAAACCAUGUUUAGCUUAGGUUUAAAAUAUAAUGCCUUAUUUAAACAAAUAAGAUAUAUGAGCAAUGAAUCAUCGUGCGUGCAAAAUAUAUAAUCAUAUAAAUGGUUGCACCAUAGAUCAUGAUAAUGUGAUGAAACUAUAUCAAAUUUCACAUAAUCAAACGUGUUUUGACCACGCAUGGCUUGAAAUAGAUUUCAAGCCUAGAUGCUCGUAUCAUAUCUAACUAAUAUAAAUUCAAUUUAAGCUCGAUGAACUUAGAUAUUAAGUAUGCUUUAAUCUGUAUAUUAUUGUGUAUUGAUUUAUUUAUAGAUAUAUAUUAAUUUUUUUGAUAAUUAAUUUAUUUAAU